GCCUCCUUAGCUCAGCGGUAGAGCAACGCUCUUGUAAAGCGUAGGUCGUCGGUUCAAUCCCGACAGGGGGCUCCA
RNAcentral lists this transfer RNA (75 nucleotides) under Mycolicibacterium madagascariense. RNAcentral's name for it is "tRNA-Thr". It matches the Rfam family "tRNA". From Rfam's summary of the family: Transfer RNA (tRNA) molecules are approximately 80 nucleotides in length. Their secondary structure includes four short double-helical elements and three loops (D, anti-codon, and T loops). Lineage: Bacteria; Bacillati; Actinomycetota; Actinomycetes; Mycobacteriales; Mycobacteriaceae. The record is from RNAcentral.